CUACGGGACGCUGCAGUGGGGAAUAUUGGACAAUGGGGGAAACCCUGAUCCAGCAAUGCCGCGUGUGUGAAGAAGGCCUGCGGGUUGUAAAGCACUUUCGGUUGGGAGGACUGCUUCUAGCACUAAUAUUGUUGGAAGUUGACGUUACCUUCAGAAGAAGCACCGGGUAACUCCGUGCCAGGCAGCCGCGGUAAUACGGAGGGUGCAAGCGUUAAUCGGAAUUACUGGGCGUAAAGCGCGCGUAGGCGGCUAGAUCAGUCGGGUGUGAAAGCCCCGGGCUUAACCUGGGAACUGCAUCCGAUACUGUCUAGCUUGAGUACAGGAGAGGAGAGUGGAAUUCCACAUGUAGCGGUGAAAUGCGUAGAUAUGUGGAGGAACACCAAUGGCGAAGGCAGCUCUCUGGCCUGAUACUGACGCUGAGGUGCGAAAGCGUGGGGAGCGAACAGGAUUAGAUACCCCCGUAGUC
RNAcentral lists this ribosomal RNA (466 nucleotides) under uncultured bacterium. RNAcentral's name for it is "partial 16S ribosomal RNA". It matches the Rfam family "Bacterial small subunit ribosomal RNA", at positions 339 to 795 of the family's 1533-position model. The record is from RNAcentral.